GACUCUCUGCAACGGAUAUCUCGGAUCUCGCAUCGAUGAAGAACGUAUCGAAAUGCGAUACUUGGUGUGAAUUGCAGAAUCUCGUGAACCAUCGAGUCUUUGAACGCAAGUUGCGCCCGAAGCCAUUAGGCUGAGGGUACGUCCGCGUGGGCGUCA
RNAcentral lists this ribosomal RNA (156 nucleotides) under Nicotiana attenuata. Its description in RNAcentral is "rRNA 5_8S_rRNA". It matches the Rfam family "5.8S ribosomal RNA". Rfam says of the family: 5.8S ribosomal RNA (5.8S rRNA) is a component of the large subunit of the eukaryotic ribosome. It is transcribed by RNA polymerase I as part of the 45S precursor that also contains 18S and 28S rRNA. Functionally, it is thought that 5.8S rRNA may be involved in ribosome translocation. Lineage: Eukaryota; Viridiplantae; Streptophyta; Magnoliopsida; Solanales; Solanaceae. The record is from RNAcentral.